AGAUUUUCCACCCAUCAGCUGGAGUACUAUAUUCAAUUCUGGACACAUAAGGAGGAGGAAGUGGAGAAGAUACUGGAGGGAUUCAUGGUGACAUUGGCACAUGCACAGUAUGAUGCGAGGACCGGGUCUGGCAGUGGGUGUGUGCAGAACGGCAGAGAUUUUGGCGCAUGCGCAGAAUGAAACACAAGCCAAUCCUGCUGGAAUCAUGCUAUGGUGAACACAGAACUUCAUCUCGCUUUCUGCCCAUGUCGUUAGUACCAGCAUGGACCAAGACCUCUGGCUGUUCAGAAUGACCCCUCCUUCCAGACUGUCCUGGAUCCACUCAGACAUUUUUGAUCCUGGCCAUCGGCUGAAAUAUUUUAGAAGUUUUAUCUGAUUUUUAAAAAUAAAUUAUUAAUGUGAUGUUAAUGUCACUGGCUCAGUCAGCAGUCAUUGCCCAAUCUUAUUUGCAUUCAAAAUGGUGGCAGUGACCUGCUUUUCU
Hemiscyllium ocellatum (epaulette shark) is the source of this 481-nucleotide long non-coding RNA. RefSeq lists it as uncharacterized. The record is from RefSeq and is a predicted model, not a curated record. The transcript is spliced from 3 exons. NCBI's taxonomy places the organism in Eukaryota, Metazoa, Chordata, Chondrichthyes, Orectolobiformes, Hemiscylliidae.